RNAcentral lists this ribosomal RNA (742 nucleotides) under uncultured bacterium. Its description in RNAcentral is "bacterial SSU rRNA". It matches the Rfam family "Bacterial small subunit ribosomal RNA", at positions 8 to 796 of the family's 1533-position model. The record is from RNAcentral.
AGAGUUUGAUCAUGGCUCAGAACGAACGCUGGCGGCAGGCUUAACACAUGCAAGUCGAACGCAUCCUUCGGGGUGAGUGGCAGACGGGUGAGUAACGCGUGGGAACGUGCCCUUCAGUUCGGAAUAACCCAGGGAAACUUGGGCUAAUACCGGAUACGUGCGAGAGCAGAAAGAUUUAUCGCUGAAGGAUCGGCCCGCGUCUGAUUAGCUAGUUGGUAGGGUAAUGGCCUACCAAGGCGACGAUCAGUAGCUGGUCUGAGAGGAUGAUCAGCCACAUUGGGACUGAGACACGGCCCAAACUCCUACGGGAGGCAGCAGUGGGGAAUAUUGGACAAUGGGCGCAAGCCUGAUCCAGCCAUGCCGCGUGAGUGAUGAAGGCCUUAGGGUUGUAAAGCUCUUUCGUCCGGGACGAUAAUGACGGUACCGGAAGAAGAAGCCCCGGCUAACUUCGUGCCAGCAGCCGCGGUAAUACGAAGGGGGCUAGCGUUGUUCGGAAUCACUGGGCGUAAAGGGCGCGUAGGCGGCUUGAUAAGUCGGGGGUGAAAGCCUGUGGCUCAACCACAGAAUUGCCUUCGAUACUGUCUGGCUUGAGACCGGAAGAGGUAAGUGGAACUGCGAGUGUAGAGGUGAAAUUCGUAGAUAUUCGCAAGAACACCAGUGGCGAAGGCGGCUUACUGGUCCGGUUCUGACGCUGAGGCGCGAAAGCGUGGGGAGCAAACAGGAUUAGAUACCCUAGUAGUCC